GCCUGAGUGGCGGAAUUGGUAGACGCAGCGGAUUCAAAAUCCGCCGGUAGUGAUACCGUGAGAGUUCGAGUCUCUCCUUAGGCACCA
RNAcentral lists this transfer RNA (87 nucleotides) under Cardiobacteriaceae bacterium. RNAcentral's name for it is "tRNA-Leu". It matches the Rfam family "tRNA". From Rfam's summary of the family: Transfer RNA (tRNA) molecules are approximately 80 nucleotides in length. Lineage: Bacteria; Pseudomonadati; Pseudomonadota; Gammaproteobacteria; Cardiobacteriales; Cardiobacteriaceae. The record is from RNAcentral.